RNAcentral lists this ribosomal RNA (774 nucleotides) under uncultured Neocallimastigales. RNAcentral describes it as "partial large subunit ribosomal RNA". It matches the Rfam family "Eukaryotic large subunit ribosomal RNA", at positions 23 to 632 of the family's 3401-position model. Lineage: Eukaryota; Fungi; Neocallimastigomycota; Neocallimastigomycetes; Neocallimastigales. The record is from RNAcentral.
AGAGAGAGACAUGCGCGCAUAUCAAUAAGCGGAGGAAAAGAAACUAACAAGGAUUCCCCUAGUAACGGCGAGUGAAGCGGGAAGAGCUCAAAUUUGAAAUCUUAAAGGGUUUCCCUUUACGAAUUGUAGUUUAAAGAAGUGUUUUCUGUUGAGGUUUUGGUAAAAGUUCUUUGGAAUAGGACAUCAUAGAGGGUGAGAAUCCCGUAUUUGACCUUUACUUUCAACUUUGUGAUACACUUUCAAAGAGUCGGAUUGUUUGGGAAUGCAGUCCAAAAUGGGUGGUAAAUUUCAUCUAAAGCUAAAUAUUGGCGAGAGACCGAUAGCGAACAAGUACCGUGAGGGAAAGAUGAAAAGAACUUUGAAAAGAGAGUUAAACAGUACGUGAAAUUGUCAAAAGGGAAGCGUUUGACACCAGUGUUGUUUUUCUGAAAAUCAAUUAAAGAACUGUUUAUGCUAAGUUGUUUAGACUUUAUCAGCUAACUGUUUAGUUUUGAGCUUUUCUUUAAUGCACUUUUCAGUUAACAAGUCAACAUCAAUUUCUUUUGCUGUGAAAAAAGCUUGAGGAAGGUGGCUUGAGAUUCGUCUUAAGUGUUUAUAGCCUCUUGCCUAUGCAGUCGGAGAGAUUGAGGUCUGCAGCGUAGAUCCUUCGGGGCUAAAUGCAUUUGUGCUAAGUUAUAGCAUUUUAUAGACAACUUGUUGACUAUGAUUUGUCUUGUAGCUUACUCGCUUAUGUUAUUUUACCUACGCUUAGGAUGUUGAAGACUCUACAGAGAU